Mesocricetus auratus (golden hamster) is the source of this 1669-nucleotide long non-coding RNA. RefSeq lists it as uncharacterized. NCBI's taxonomy places the organism in Eukaryota, Metazoa, Chordata, Mammalia, Rodentia, Cricetidae. The transcript is spliced from 3 exons. The record is from RefSeq and is a predicted model, not a curated record.
CUGACCUGAGCAAGGGGGAGCUCAUGGACCUUAAACUGACAGAAAAAGAACCAUCAAAUUAAAAAUGUUGGAAAAGUCAAGGAGGAGCGAUGUAGAGAUCAUGGUGAGUGAGCAUUGGCUUUCAUGAGUGAAGAGGAACUUCCUGCUCCAGUAAGAGGAACAGAUGAAGAUAGAGCCCAUCAUCGAUGACAUUUGAAUCUCAAGCUGAGAGUGCCAGAAGGAGAGUGAGUCAUCCUGAGGAUGGAAGGAUUGGAAGCGAGUCUCGCACGCUGGUCCUUGGAGUUCUUUCAGUCUUCUCUUCUACAGAUGAGCUCUGAAACCCGGCCUAGAUUGCACCUGUCUCCUUUUACCUUCACCACCAGGAAAGGUUCUCUGCCACAUUCUGAAGGAAGCAAUACCCAGAAAACUGCAUUUCAUUUUGCAGGUUGCUGAUCGUUUUCCCAGCUGAUUAUUUUGGAGAUGCCUCAGAAAAUAGAAAUGAGUAUGGUCAGCAUGAGAAACAAGGAAAACCGAAGGAGCUCAACCUGAAGGAGUGGCUAUGUCCAACUCACCUCCCCUCUCGGGUAGCUAAGACAUGCCAAAGAGUGGAUCAGUGGAGACAUGCUUUCUUCUUCAGUUUCUGCCAGUCAACCCAUCUUUACUGUGGCUGGAGAGAGAAGAGAAGACGGGGUGGGGGUGAGAAAGUAAAGAGGAGCUUUCAGUAGUAGCCUGCCUUGUGCUGGCCAUGCAGUUCCCCAGCAUGCACACCGCUGUACAUAUUUGCAUUUUCAAUCCAACCUCACCUUUGCACCACUCCAUCCUGCUAGUAGCUCAAAACUCUUCUAAGCUUUAGAAUUGAGAGAUGAAUUUGAGCCCAGUUAUUAUGUUCAGCUGCUUGACUUGAAAGAAUGAAGCACCACAAAAACAAAACCAAACCCUCAAGUCCUUAUAGACCUGCAAUAUUCUAAGUCUAUUGACACACUCGCAUGAACCCUACAUGCUGCCAUACUGAACCAAUGGCUCUUUCCCACACAGUAAAUAGAGAGGCACAUGGAAGACAUGCAGUGCCAUCUAUCAUGCUGUCCUACCCUCCUGGAUCACUUUUAUGGGUUGUUUUAGACAUGGUCUAUGUCUCAGAAUCUUCUAGAGACCUCCCCCCUGUAACUGCCUACCCAUUCUAAGAUGGUUUGUUUCCUGGCAUGUUUAGGGGGUAAGGAUCAUGGUCAGAGCAUAGCUGGGUAUUAUAGUAUAAAGACACACCCAAGAGAUCAAAAAGAGUCUCCGUGAGAGGAGGAUGGUGGGAAUGCUUACCCCCCGGGUUGGCAUUUUCCUUUCCUUUGUCAUUCUUGCCUUUGUGGCAGUGUUUGUUAAAGUUCAUGUCACAUGCCCCUACUUGAGAAUCCCUUCUUUUAGUUUUUGUGAUGUCAUUAUCUCUUGUAAACAUUUUAUCAACACUCUUGUAAAUCGGUUUUAUUUCAAAAUAAAGCCAUCUAAAUUGUAAACUUAUCUAACGCCAAUAAGGUGAUUGCCCACUUCCACAUCCUUGUGCUCUAUGGCCAGCCAGCCGCUGGAGGCAGAGAUUUGGAACUCAGCCAGGAUCCUCUGUUUAUAGUCCCUCAUCCUUGUCAUCCAUUAAACCAACAUACCUCCCAUUAGUGAUGGUUAUUUAUUUUCAAGUGAAAAUUCAAUG